RNAcentral lists this ribosomal RNA (495 nucleotides) under uncultured bacterium. Its description in RNAcentral is "partial 16S ribosomal RNA". It matches the Rfam family "Bacterial small subunit ribosomal RNA", at positions 28 to 507 of the family's 1533-position model. The record is from RNAcentral.
GACGAACGCUGGCGGCGUGCCUAAUACAUGCAAGUAGAACGCUGAAGGAGGAGCUUGCUUCUCCGGAUGAGUUGCGAACGGGUGAGUAACGCGUAGGUAACCUGCCUGGUAGCGGGGGAUAACUAUUGGAAACGAUAGCUAAUACCGCAUAAGAGUAGAUGUUGCGUGACAUUUGCUUAAAAGGUGCAAUUGCAUCACUACCAGAUGGACCUGCGUUGUAUUAGCUAGUUGGUGAGGUAACGGCUCACCAAGGCGACGAUACAUAGCCGACCUGAGAGGGUGAUCGGCCACACUGGGACUGAGACACGGCCCAGACUCCUACGGGAGGCAGCAGUAGGGAAUCUUCGGCAAUGGACGGAAGUCUGACCGAGCAACGCCGCGUGAGUGAAGAAGGUUUUCGGAUCGUAAAGCUCUGUUGUAAGAGAAGAACGAGUGUGAGAGUGGAAAGUUCACACUGUGACGGUAUCUUACCAGAAAGGGACGGCUAACUACGUG